RNAcentral lists this ribosomal RNA (461 nucleotides) under Acinetobacter baumannii. RNAcentral describes it as "bacterial SSU rRNA". It matches the Rfam family "Bacterial small subunit ribosomal RNA", at positions 338 to 795 of the family's 1533-position model. The record is from RNAcentral. Lineage: Bacteria; Pseudomonadati; Pseudomonadota; Gammaproteobacteria; Moraxellales; Moraxellaceae.
CCUACGGGGGGCAGCAGUGAGGAAUAUUGGUCAAUGGACGAGAGUCUGAACCAGCCAAGUAGCGUGCAGGAUGACGGCCCUAUGGGUUGUAAACUGCUUUUGCGCGGGGAUAACACCCUCCACGUGCUGGAGGUCUGCAGGUACCGCGCGAAUAAGGACCGGCUAAUUCCGUGCCAGCAGCCGCGGUAAUACGGAAGGUCCGGGCGUUAUCCGGAUUUAUUGGGUUUAAAGGGAGCGUAGGCCGUGAGGUAAGCGUGUUGUGAAAUGUAGGCGCCCAACGUCUGCACUGCAGCGCGAACUGCCCCACUUGAGUGCGCGCAACGCCGGCGGAACUCGUCGUGUAGCGGUGAAAUGCUUAGAUAUGACGAAGAACCCCGAUUGCGAAGGCAGCUGGCGGGAGCGUAACUGACGCUGAAGCUCGAAAGCGCGGGUAUCGAACAGGAUUAGAUACCCCUGUAGUC